AUGCAGUCGAGCGGGGUUUUCGGACCUAGCGGCGGACGGGUGAGCAAUGCGUAGGAAGCUACCCGAUAGAGGGGGAUACCAGUUGGAAACGACUGUUAACACCGCAUAAUGUCUACGGACCAAAGUGUGGGACCUUCGGGCCACAUGCUAUCGGAUGCGCCUACGUGGGAUUAGCUAGUUGGUGGGGUAAUGGCUCACCAAGGCGACGAUCCCUAGCUGGUUUGAGAGGAUGAUCAGCCACACUGGAACUGAGACACGGUCCAGACUCCUACGGGAGGCAGCAGUGGGGAAUAUUGGACAAUGGGCGCAAGCCUGAUCCAGCCAUGCCGCGUGUGUGAAGAAGGCCUUCGGGUUGUAAAGCACUUUCAGCGAGGAGGAAGGGUUAGUAGUUAAUAGCUGCUAAUUUUGACGUUACUCGCAGAAGAAGCACCGGCUAACUCUGUGCCAGCAGCCGCGGUAAUACAGAGGGUGCAAGCGUUAAUCGGAAUUACUGGGCGUAAAGCGCACGUAGGCGGUUUUUUAAGUCAGAUGUGAAAGCCCCGGGCUCAACCUGGGAAUUGCAUUUGAAACUGGAAAACUAGAGUGUGUG
This 589-nucleotide ribosomal RNA is filed under the name uncultured bacterium. Its description in RNAcentral is "bacterial SSU rRNA". It matches the Rfam family "Bacterial small subunit ribosomal RNA", at positions 55 to 652 of the family's 1533-position model. The record is from RNAcentral.